ACUUUGAUUUCUCUGCACCCCCACCCACCGAGGGGUCAAAAGAGGCAGAACAAAAGGACCUGGGGGUACAACUGUCUCCUGAUUCUCUAACAGGCCUCCUAAGGAUGUUCCCGGAUAUAGUGGGAUUGCAGUUUGAAUAGGAAUGAAGCAAGUGGGCUGAUCGCAAACCGUAGUAUCUUUUGUAUUCUGAAGUCUUUUAUGUCUUCCUUAGAAUUAUUCAUUCACA
This 226-nucleotide unclassified non-coding RNA is filed under the name uncultured bacterium. Its description in RNAcentral is "contains 16S-23S intergenic spacer region". The record is from RNAcentral.